This 535-nucleotide long non-coding RNA is filed under the name Olea europaea subsp. europaea. The record is from RNAcentral. Lineage: Eukaryota; Viridiplantae; Streptophyta; Magnoliopsida; Lamiales; Oleaceae.
AUUCUCUCUGCUUCUCAUGAUAAAGAUAUGUUGGCUGGUGCUCCACCUCAGAAUUCCCAAUUAUUGACGAGCCUCUACACCUCAGAAUUGCUAGCAUUCAACGAGCAAUAUGGUGCUCCAUGGUCGAAUAAUAGCUCUCUCUCAUCUUCAGCAAUUUCUCUGCGUUGAGAGAUCCGGCCCCUGGGUCGUCUAGUGGACUACUGGACUCGAAAAUGGUGACUGAAAUUUCCAUUUUUUCUAGAAUCAAUUGUUCCUGAAAUCCCACUACCUAUGACAGAUUGGAGGCGAUGCUUUACAUGUCAGCAACGGCAGCAAGUAUGCUUGGUUCUGUUCAGUUCAUAGCAAUUUACAUGAUCGAACACAAGGAAUAUGGAUAGGGUCCACAGCAGUGGGGGCAAACUUGUCCUAACCUUUCUCUUCCAAUUAACUUUUCUCUCUGUAUCGCUUGAAACUCUUCGCAGAUUAAUUGCUUCACUGCUUUAGUGAAGUACUUAACUUAGUUUGGUGGUGAGCACACAAUUCAUCUUUUACCUCA